This 261-nucleotide ribosomal RNA is filed under the name uncultured bacterium. RNAcentral's name for it is "partial 16S ribosomal RNA". It matches the Rfam family "Bacterial small subunit ribosomal RNA", at positions 793 to 1055 of the family's 1533-position model. The record is from RNAcentral.
GUCCACGCCGUAAACGUUGGGCACUAGGUGUGGGACUCUAUCGACGGGUUCCGUGCCGUAGCUAACGCAUUAAGUGCCCCGCCUGGGGAGUACGGCCGCAAGGCUAAAACUCAAAGGAAUUGACGGGGCCCGCACAAGCGGCGGAGCGUGUGGCUUAAUUCGAUGCAACGCGAAGAACCUUACCUGGGCUUGACAUGUACGGUAAAGCGGGUGAAAGCCCGUGUGCUUCGGCGCCGUACACAGGUGGUGCAUGGCUGUCGU